CCAAACGUGUGGAUCUUAUAGUGUAUGGCCAGGUCGCCAAAUGUGUGGAUCUUAUAGUGUAUGGCCAGGUCAUCAAACGUGGACCUUAUAGUGUAUGACCACCUUUACGUGCCCUAAAAAUUGCUGAUCAGUUAAGCGAAGCCAAUGGGACAGCACUAUCUUCUGGUGGGAGGUGGUAUAGAAGUUGAUUUCCCACCUCUGUUCUAACAGACUUUGGAUUGUUUCUGAUUUUGAGGCUUUCAGCUAAAACCCUGUAACCCCCAACUUACACCACCUACUAGCAAGGUUGUGGCAAUAUUCCUUACCUUGGCAAAGGUAUUCAAUAUCUUCUAUUUAAUCUGACAACUGAUGGAUUCUCCAUAAAGAGUGUAAUUGUAGAGGCAACCAGUUAUGCAUAGUAAAAAUGCCAAUGGCUCUUGUAUGUACAAUUCACUGAAAGAGAAACACUUCUUGUCCUGCAUACCCAGCUUAGCAUGGAUGGGUAAGUGUUGUUUGAAACUAUCAGUUUCUCAGUAACAAGAACCAGACGUCUUUUUAACUGAUCUGUUGCACAUGUGUACAGAUAUUAAAGUUGGAACGGGUGCACGGAACCUUAUCUCUAACAGAACUGGUAAAUCGAUAGUACUGGUGUCAUGCCUACUCCGACAUGUUAUUCCAUUCAGAACAACAGGUACAGGAGGCGGCUCGGUUACAUUAACAGGCUGUUCCAACACUUGUCAUUCAAGGAGAAGCACUGAUUCUCAGAAGGAAGACUCAGAUCCAAAUGGUUUAGUGGCACGUUCCCUCACUUUUUGCGGUUUGGCAGCUGAACAUUUCAAAUACCUGACUCAUGACAAAGCGGAAUCGGCUUGCUGCACCGGGGUGUGACUCAGGAUUGGGUACUUGGCACGGGCCGCUUGUUUAACCGCGGGAAGCGUGAAUAUGGAACAAAACCUCUGAAUCUCCCAUGAAAAUGAUCUCAUGAACAUGAAGGUGUUUCCAGGCAGAGGCACUUAAUGAUUGAAAAGCACUGAAGGAUAAUCAUUUUGCCGUUUCUAUGGAAAUAUACAGUAAGUGGUUCAUUACUUUUGUGGCAGAUUUUUAAGUAUCUUUGUAGCCGAGGUGAUAAAUGGUAGAGCAAUGAAAGGAUGAAGAACCCUGGCGUAGCACUGAUUGGGUAUUUAGACUGUUAA
This is a long non-coding RNA of Xenopus tropicalis (tropical clawed frog), 1172 nucleotides long. RefSeq lists it as uncharacterized. NCBI's taxonomy places the organism in Eukaryota, Metazoa, Chordata, Amphibia, Anura, Pipidae. The transcript is spliced from 3 exons. The record is from RefSeq and is a predicted model, not a curated record.